GACGAACGCUGGCGGCGUGCCUAAUACAUGCAAGUCGAACGCUUCUUUUUCCACCGGAGCUUGCUCCACCGGAAAAAGAGGAGUGGCGAACGGGUGAGUAACACGUGGGUAACCUGCCCAUCAGAAGGGGAUAACACUUGGAAACAGGUGCUAAUACCGUAUAACAAUCGAAACCGCAUGGUUUUGAUUUGAAAGGCGCUUUCGGGUGUCGCUGAUGGAUGGACCCGCGGUGCAUUAGCUAGUUGGUGAGGUAACGGCUCACCAAGGCCACGAUGCAUAGCCGACCUGAGAGGGUGAUCGGCCACAUUGGGACUGAGACACGGCCCAAACUCCUACGGGAGGCAGCAGUAGGGAAUCUUCGGCAAUGGACGAAAGUCUGACCGAGCAACGCCGCGUGAGUGAAGAAGGUUUUCGGAUCGUAAAACUCUGUUGUUAGGGAAGAACAAAUUUGUUAGUAACUGAACAAGUCUUGACGGUACCUAACCAGAAAGCCACGGCUAACUACGUGCCAGCCGCCGCAGUAA
RNAcentral lists this ribosomal RNA (524 nucleotides) under uncultured bacterium. Its description in RNAcentral is "partial 16S ribosomal RNA". It matches the Rfam family "Bacterial small subunit ribosomal RNA", at positions 28 to 523 of the family's 1533-position model. The record is from RNAcentral.